GACAUAGGGUGCAAACGUUGUUCGGAAUUACUGGGCGUAAAGGGCUCGUAGGUGGCCAACUAAGUCAGACGUGAAAUCCCUCGGCUUAACCGGGGAACUGCGUCUGAUACUGGAUGGCUUGAGUUUGGGAGAGGGACGCGGAAUUCCAGGUGUAGCGGUGAAAUGCGUAGAUAUCUGGAGGAACACCGGUGGCGAAGGCGGCGUCCUGGACCAACACUGACACUGAUGAGCGAAAGCCAGGGGAGCAAACGGG
RNAcentral lists this ribosomal RNA (253 nucleotides) under uncultured bacterium. Its description in RNAcentral is "partial 16S ribosomal RNA". It matches the Rfam family "Bacterial small subunit ribosomal RNA", at positions 524 to 776 of the family's 1533-position model. The record is from RNAcentral.